AAGGCGUUUUUCGGGAGUCAAGAUGGCCGAAUACGAACAGCUCAGGUCUACAGCUCCCAGCGUGAGCGACGCAGAAGACGGGUGAUUUCUGCAUUUCCAUCUGAGCUGCUGCAGAUGCUGUUUGAAGAAGCUCUGCCCCUCAGCUGCUCUGAUCCUGUGCUUAGCACUCUUAGCCUGGUGCAGGGCCUGCUGUCUGCUCACUCUCACCAUGUCCUGCCCAGGGCCUGACCCUCCUGAGGGGCCCGGGACCCAGCGUGUGUGGCAAGGGGCUCUACGGAUCCUACAGCUCCCAGGAGCCCCGAAGAAGAAAGAAACAAAUAAAAAAAGAAACAAAAAGAAUAAAGAAGAAUACGAAAAAGAAAACAAAGGAAGGAAGGAAGGAAAAAAGAAAAAGAAAGAAUUUUCUAGGUCUUUGCAGAUUGGCUCUGUGUGGAGUCACUCCUAAGCUUAGCCAGGCAAUUUACAGCUCUGUUUUAGCCUUCACUUCCUGCUUGUGCUGAGCCCAAAGACCAGACAGAGAUGAAAGCUUAUUGUCUUAUUGGGCCUUUUCUGCACAUGAGUCCUACCCUGGGUGUGCUUUCUGCUCUCUCUAGUACACAUGGGAACUUUUUGAAGCCCUUAUUCUCCCAAAAAUAUCACUUCCAAACUUUUCCCAGUCUUUCAGGGUAUCAGUUGUUUGCCUCAACUGUUAUUUUUGCUUCAGGCAGCAGUUCCUUGUUCUUUUGUUCUUUAGCAGUUUUCAGGGAACAUCCUCUGUGUAGCUGCUCUGCCUUGAGAGAGUUCUGAGAUUCGUGAAGCAAAGAGAAUUCCCUUUCAUCAGUUCUUCAAGGGAAAUUCCAGACAGUCAAAAAAGAUAAACACAAUUCAUUGGGAUCAAGAUCUUCUCUGCUCCCUCCCUAACCAGGAACCCCCACCAGAAAUUUGGGCUGCUGUCUUCAAGAUUAGCCCUGUGCUGGGGAGGGGUUGGAGCUAGGGUAAGUUAAAACACCACAGAGAUCUCUUACCAUAUUUAAGUUGCCUUUCUCCUGGUUAAGCAUUGGUUGCUGUAAACCUCUAUCUUUCAGAGUUAAAAUAAGGUUGUUUCUGGCUGUUUUUGCUAGGUGUUUCUGGGGAUGAACGGACUCUUGGAGUUCCCUACUCUGCCAUUUUCACUGAUGUCAUCUUCUUUUGCCCAUUUUAAAAUUGGGUUGUCUUUUUAUUAUUGAGUUGUAAGAGCUCUUUAUAUAUUCUGGGUACAAGUCACUUGUCA
This 1249-nucleotide long non-coding RNA is filed under the name Homo sapiens (human). RNAcentral describes it as "PREDICTED lncRNA (TCONS_00220451)". Lineage: Eukaryota; Metazoa; Chordata; Mammalia; Primates; Hominidae. The record is from RNAcentral.